GUGUGUGUGUGUGUGUGUGUGUGUGUGUGUAUGUAUCUAUAUAUAUAUAGAUAUAUACACACACACACACACACAAACAC
Non-coding RNA from Pelobates cultripes (western spadefoot toad), 80 nucleotides. The record is from the annotation of a GenBank genome assembly. Lineage: Eukaryota; Metazoa; Chordata; Amphibia; Anura; Pelobatidae.